GAUGAACGCUGGCGGCGUGCCUAAUACAUGCAAGUCGAGCGAACGGACGAGAAGCUUGCUUCUCUGAUGUUAGCGGCGGACGGGUGAGUAACACGUGGAUAACCUACCUAUAAGACUGGGAUAACUUCGGGAAACCGGAGCUAAUACCGGAUAAUAUUUUGAACCGCAUGGUUCAAAAGUGAAAGACGGUCUUGCUGUCACUUAUAGAUGGAUCCGCGCUGCAUUAGCUAGUUGGUAAGGUAACGGCUUACCAAGGCAACGAUGCAUAGCCGACCUGAGAUGGUGAUCGGCCACACUGGAACUGAGACACGGUCCAGACUCCUACGGGAGGCAGCAGUAGGGAAUCUUCCGCAAUGGGCGAAAGCCUGACGGAGCAACGCCGCGUGAGUGAUGAAGGUCUUCGGAUCGUAAAACUCUGUUAUUAGGGAAGAACAUAUGUGUAAGUAACUGUGCACAUCUUGACGUUACCUAAUCAGAAAGCCACGGCUAACUACGUG
RNAcentral lists this ribosomal RNA (497 nucleotides) under uncultured bacterium. RNAcentral describes it as "partial 16S ribosomal RNA". It matches the Rfam family "Bacterial small subunit ribosomal RNA", at positions 28 to 507 of the family's 1533-position model. The record is from RNAcentral.